GGGGCAGUAGCUCAGUAGUAGAGCUUCAGCCUUGUACGCGGGAAGACCUGAGUUCGAUUCCUGGCUGCUUCC
RNAcentral lists this transfer RNA (72 nucleotides) under Toxocara canis (dog roundworm). It matches the Rfam family "tRNA". From Rfam's summary of the family: Transfer RNA (tRNA) molecules are approximately 80 nucleotides in length. Their secondary structure includes four short double-helical elements and three loops (D, anti-codon, and T loops). The record is from Rfam by way of RNAcentral. Lineage: Eukaryota; Metazoa; Nematoda; Chromadorea; Rhabditida; Toxocaridae.